AUCGAUACACUUAUGAUAAUUUUAUUCUUUGUUAGUUUCUUUUAAAUUUUACUGUCAAAUUGCUGAGUUGGAUAAUAAAUGACAUUUGAUGAUUGUACCAGUUUGGGGUUUUACCAUCCGUUUGUCAUAUGUGUACCGGUUGUGAUUUUUCAUUGUGUAAAGCACAUUUAACACAAACUAACUCAGGGUAAAUUUGUUAUAAAUGUAUAAGUUUAGGGUUUUUAGCUAUUAAAAAAUUAGU
Molecule: long non-coding RNA, 241 nt
Filed under: Eucalyptus grandis
Lineage: Eukaryota; Viridiplantae; Streptophyta; Magnoliopsida; Myrtales; Myrtaceae
Description: long non-coding RNA (EGRA_LNC001027)
Source: RNAcentral